RNAcentral lists this ribosomal RNA (790 nucleotides) under uncultured bacterium. RNAcentral's name for it is "bacterial SSU rRNA". It matches the Rfam family "Bacterial small subunit ribosomal RNA", at positions 8 to 793 of the family's 1533-position model. The record is from RNAcentral.
AGAGUUUGAUCCUGGCUCAGAUUGAACGCUGGCGGCAUGCCUUACACAUGCAAGUCGAACGGCAGCACGGGAGCAAUCCUGGUGGCGAGUGGCGAACGGGUGAGUAAUAUAUCGGAACGUGCCCAGUCGUGGGGGAUAACGCAGCGAAAGCUGUGCUAAUACCGCAUACGAUCUAUGGAUGAAAGCGGGGGAUCGCAAGACCUCGCGCGAUUGGAGCGGCCGAUAUCAGAUUAGCUAGUUGGUGAGGUAAAGGCUCACCAAGGCGACGAUCUGUAGCUGGUCUGAGAGGACGACCAGCCACACUGGAACUGAGACACGGUCCAGACUCCUACGGGAGGCAGCAGUGGGGAAUUUUGGACAAUGGGCGCAAGCCUGAUCCAGCAAUGCCGCGUGCAGGAUGAAGGCCUUCGGGUUGUAAACUGCUUUUGUACGGAGCGAAAAGGUUUCUCCUAAUACGAGAGGCUCAUGACGGUACCGUAAGAAUAAGCACCGGCUAACUACGUGCCAGCAGCCGCGGUAAUACGUAGGGUGCGAGCGUUAAUCGGAAUUACUGGGCGUAAAGCGUGCGCAGGCGGUUUUGUAAGACAGAUGUGAAAUCCCCGGGCUCAACCUGGGACCUGCAUUUGUGACUGCAAGGCUAGAGUACGGUAGAGGGGGAUGGAAUUCCGCGUGUAGCAGUGAAAUGCGUAGAUAUGCGGAGGAACACCGAUGGCGAAGGCAAUCCCCUGGACCUGUACUGACGCUCAUGCACGAAAGCGUGGGGAGCAAACAGGAUUAGAUACCCUGGUAG